This 468-nucleotide ribosomal RNA is filed under the name uncultured bacterium. Its description in RNAcentral is "partial 16S ribosomal RNA". It matches the Rfam family "Bacterial small subunit ribosomal RNA", at positions 356 to 816 of the family's 1533-position model. The record is from RNAcentral.
AGGGAAUCUUCCACAAUGGACGCAAGUCUGAUGGAGCAACGCCGCGUGAGUGAAGAAGGUUUUCGGACCGUAAAGCUCUGUUGUUGGUGAAGAAGGAUAGAGGUAGUAACUGGCCUUUAUUUGACGGUAAUCAACCAGAAAGUCACGGCUAACUACGUGCCAGCAGCCGCGGUAAUACGUAGGUGGCAAGCGUUGUCCGGAUUUAUUGGGCGUAAAGCGAGCGCAGGCGGAAGAAUAAGUCUGAUGUGAAAGCCCUCGGCUUAACCGAGGAAUUGCAUCGGAAACUGUUUUCUUGAGUGCAGAAGAGGAGAGUAGAACUCCAUGUGUAGCGGUGGAAUGCGUAGAUAUAUGGAAGAAUACCAGUGGCGAAGGCGGCUCUCUGGUCUGCAACUGACGCUGAGGCUCGAAAGCAUGGGUAGCGAACAGGAUUAGAUACCCUUGGUAGUCCAUGCCGUAAACGAUGAGUGC